This 73-nucleotide transfer RNA is filed under the name Bacteroidota bacterium. Its description in RNAcentral is "Bacteroidetes bacterium (freshwater metagenome) tRNA-Phe". It matches the Rfam family "tRNA". From Rfam's summary of the family: Transfer RNA (tRNA) molecules are approximately 80 nucleotides in length. The record is from RNAcentral. Lineage: Bacteria; Pseudomonadati; Bacteroidota.
GGUGUCGUAGCUCAGUCGGUAGAGCAUCGGACUGAAAAUCCGUGUGUCACUGGUUCAAAUCCAGUCGACACCA